GAUGAACGCUAGCGGCAGGCUUAAUACAUGCAAGUCGUGGGGCAGCAGGGUUGUAGCAAUACAAUCGCUGGCGACCGGCAAACGGGUGCGGAACACGUACGCAACCUUCCUUUAAGUGGAGGAUAGCCCGGGGAAACCCGGAUUAAUACUCCGUAAUAUUAUGAGAUGGCAUCAUCUUAUAAUUAUAGCUCCGGCGCUUAAAGAUGGGCGUGCGCCUGAUUAGGUAGUUGGCGGGGUAACGGCCCACCAAGCCUACGAUCAGUAACUGGU
Molecule: ribosomal RNA, 270 nt
Filed under: uncultured bacterium
Lineage: Bacteria
Description: partial 16S ribosomal RNA
Rfam family: Bacterial small subunit ribosomal RNA
Source: RNAcentral